Molecule: ribosomal RNA, 472 nt
Filed under: uncultured bacterium
Lineage: Bacteria
Description: SSU rRNA
Rfam family: Bacterial small subunit ribosomal RNA
Source: RNAcentral
AGGAUAAACGCUGGCGGCGUGCAUGAGACAUGCAAGUCGAACGGACGCUCGGGGCUUGCUCUGAGCGUUAGUGGCGGACGGCUGAGUAACGCGUAGGUGACCUGCCCCGAAGUGGGGAAUAACUGCCCGAAAGGGUGGCUAAUACCGCAUGUGGUGGAGCGUUCAUUCGCUCCAGUAAAGCCGCAAGGCGCUUCGGGAGGGGCCUGCGUCCGAUUAGCUCGUUGGUGGGGUAACGGCUCACCAAGGCGACGAUCGGUAGGUGGUCUGAGAGGACGAUCACCCAGACUGGGACUGAGACACGGCCCAGACUCCUACGGGAGGCAGCAGUCGGGAAUUUUGCGCAAUGGACGAAAGUCUGACGCAGCAACGCCGCGUGAGGGAUGACGGCCUUCGGGUUGUAAACCUCUUUUUCAGGGACGAUAAUGACGGUACCUGACGAAUAAGUCACGGCUAACUACGUGCCAGCAGCCGC